Molecule: transfer RNA, 77 nt
Filed under: Escherichia coli
Lineage: Bacteria; Pseudomonadati; Pseudomonadota; Gammaproteobacteria; Enterobacterales; Enterobacteriaceae
Also listed under: 1 other name
Description: tRNA-Pro
Rfam family: tRNA
About the family: Transfer RNA (tRNA) molecules are approximately 80 nucleotides in length. Their secondary structure includes four short double-helical elements and three loops (D, anti-codon, and T loops).
Source: RNAcentral
CGGUGAUUGGCGCAGCCUGGUAGCGCACUUCGUUCGGGACGAAGUGGUCGGAGGUUCGAAUCCUCUAUCACCGACCA